Molecule: long non-coding RNA, 2682 nt
Organism: Zingiber officinale
Lineage: Eukaryota; Viridiplantae; Streptophyta; Magnoliopsida; Zingiberales; Zingiberaceae
Exons: 2
Source: RefSeq, a predicted model, not a curated record
UAUUUAUCCGUAAAGAAGUACAAUAUUCAUCCCUAAUUUGACGGGGGUUCCGGGGAUCGCGAAUCUCAUCUCCGACGCUGCCACUUCAUCUCCAUCGGUAGGCAGUUAAUCCUUCCUCCAUCUACCGCCGGCCGCCCGACCAUCUCCUUCCACCAUUUCUCACCUCAUCUUCCCCGACUCUGAUUCCCCGAUCAGAUUUGGACGUCGCCUCCCUCAUCUCAUGGAAGAAGGCAAACAAGGGAGCUUGAAGCCAGACGCCACCAUCAUCUCCAUCGCCGGCCUCCACUGCACCAUCCACAUCUUACUCUUUGGGUUAGAAGAGGAGGAACCGAAGCCUUCCCCUUCCCCUCUUCGGGUUAGAAGAGAGGAAGCUCCUUCAUCCUUCAUCAUCAGGCCAUCUUCCUAUUCGGGUUAGAAGGGAAGAUCCGGCAGCCCCUUCCCCUCUUCGGGUUAGAAGAGGAGAAGCCCCUUCAUCAUCCGGAGAUUCAGCUCCUCUUCCCGUCAGCCCUCUUCUGGCGAUUCCACGGCCACCUCUCCUUUUCAGGUUAGAAGAGAAGAGCUCUCCACUUCUAGGAAUCAUUUCCUCAUUCCGGCAAUCCCACAACUCCGGCUUCAUCAAAUCCAGCCACAUAUCAUCCAUUCGGCAGUUCCGGGCAGCAGCACCUUAGUGAUGCGUUGGUUUGUUUUCUUUUGUGUAUGUCUUGUUGAUUGUUGAAUUGUAACGAAGUUAUCCUCCCUUGUUUUAGUUUGCAUGCAUUAGGGUUGAAUUACUUGAUUCUCACUAUGUUUUGAAGAAUGCCUCUUACAUUCUUGUUACUUGUAUUUGUGUCAAUGCAUUUCAAUUCAUUUCAUUCCAGCUAUGUUUUUGUUUAAUUGGAUGUUUGUUCUUCAUUUGGAUGUCAUUAGGUUAGAUUAGUUAGUUUUUGUUAAUUGUCUUAUGUUUCAUUUCAUGCUUAGUUUCAUUUAACGUUUGCUUUGUGUUUUUCUUUAAUUUCCUUUCAAUUAUAGUUUACAGUCACACUGUCUUUUAUUUAUUAGGGUUAGAUUUCAUUACAUGCAUUGCUCUUUAUUUGUUCGGUUUAGUCCCAAAACCCAAACCUACAUUUCCAUAACAAAAAAAAGCAAUAAAAUUGGAUCCUAAGUUUACCAUUAUAUUCCUUGUGAGAGACGAACUGAGUCAUCUCUAUGCUAUAUUAGUGUAGAGUUCGGUAAAUGAAUUGUGUUUGAUAUCGUGGUACGACACACUGAUUAUCAAUGGCUCUGUUGCAGGGGAGUUAUAAUGGUGUUUGAUAAAUCUUAGGAUUGUUUUUCUAUUCUUCACAAAAAUUUGAAAAAAAAUUGUCAGGGCUUAAUUUUAUUAUAUCCAUGUGCUUUGUUCUGUAUGUUUUGUGUCUUGUAAUUUUGUUUGUUUCAGUGUUUCAUGAUAAGAAUAGGAACUUUCCUUUGUGUGCCAUGGAUGUAUACUCUCAGCAGGGACUUCUUGCCUUAGAUCUUGUAGACAAUAUGGUGAACAAUAAUGGCAAAAAUCUCAAGGAGGUUUGGGUGCUAGAUGUGACUUAUCAAUCCUUCUGCAUCCAGUAUUCUGAGUUAGAUGCGGACUUAAAAUUAUGGCGAAUUCUAUAUUUGUUAUCGAAAUUUGAUGGUCUUGAUAGAGGAUCCUAUUAGGUAUCUGCAGAAAUUUCAUAUGGUGUGCUAUACCAUGAAGCCGCAUGGCAUAUCAAAAGAAGACAUCAAACUUCGAGAAUUCCCAUUUUCACUGGUAGAUUUAGCAAAAUAUUUGUUGUAUGGUCUUCCCUCUGGUUCUAUAACUAGCUGGUACGAAAUGAAGAGGUCAUUCUUGGAGAAGUUCUUUACGGCAUCGAGGAUUGUAGCUAUUAGGAAGAGCAUAUGUGGGAUCCAACAACUUUCAGGGGAGACUUUAUACGAGUAUUGGGAAAGAUUCAAAAGAUUUUGUACUAGUUGUCCUCAACACGAGAUUAACGAUCAGCUACUUAUUCAAUACUUCUAUAAGGGAUUACUUUCCAUGGACAAAAAUAUGAUUGAUGUAACUAGUGGAGGGACUCUAAUCAACAAAACUCCUACUCAGGCUAGAGAACUCAUAGAGAUCAUGGCUGCUAAUUCACAACAAUUUGGAAACAGACAAAUGGUUGUCAGAAGUGUUAAUGAGGCCUAUGUUUCAAGUAUCUAGCAGUCACAUUACUACCAAUUCUAACAGUAUGGCAUGUAUGAUCCAGUUCCCAAUACUCAUAUUCGUGAUUGAAGAGAGGAUCAAAUUUCAAGUAUGGGGACACAGAACAACAGAGUGCAUAGUUUUUCCAACAUAUCAAACUCCAUUUGGAUUUCAGAACAACCCAGUUUCAAACAAGUCACAGCAAGUCUAGCCGUCCAAACCAAAGUCGUCUACAUAGAAAUUGGAGGAGCAUAUGCAACAACAAAUUUCACAACAAAUUUCAGCACAAAUGGAACAACAACAAGUUAAUCUGCAGCAAUAUCAACAGAGAAAUGAUGUGAUUGUUCAGAGCUUGGAGCGAUAGAUGGAUCAGAUUACUUCUUCACUUAGCCAACUACAAGCAACUUCCUUCAGAAACCAUUCAUAAGGACUCCUCUGAUUCUUUGUGUCAGGACGAUGAAGUUGUAAAUGAUGGCAAUUUUGAUGGUGAUAGUGAUGCAUGCAAAAAUCUA